This 464-nucleotide ribosomal RNA is filed under the name uncultured bacterium. RNAcentral's name for it is "partial 16S ribosomal RNA". It matches the Rfam family "Bacterial small subunit ribosomal RNA", at positions 331 to 792 of the family's 1533-position model. The record is from RNAcentral.
CCAGACUCCUACUUUAUUCAGCAUUUAUUAAUAUUUUUCAAUUUUCUAUAUCCUUAACCAUCCAAUUCUCUUUAAGUAUUAAUUAUCUAUUUUUUUUAAACUUCUUUUAUAUGUUAAUAAAUUUAUUAACUUUUUCCUUUUUGUAUUUACCAUAUGAAUAAGCAUCUUCUAACUCCGUGCCAGCAGCCGCGUUAAUACGGAGGAUGCUAUCGUUAUCCGGAUUUAUUGGGUUUAAAGGGUGCGUAGGUGGUUAAUUAAGUAAGAGGUGAAAGUUUGUGGAUAAAAAAUAAAAUUGAAGUUGAAAAUGGUUGAAUUGAGUAUAUUUGAGGUAGGAGGAAUGAGUGGUGUAGAGGUGAAAUGAAUAGAUAUAAAGAAGAAAUAAGAUUGAGAAGGAAGAUUAAUAAAAUAUAAAUGAAAAUGAAGAAAGAAAGAGUGGGGAUAAAGAAGGAUUAGAUAAAAAAGUA